Molecule: ribosomal RNA, 444 nt
Filed under: uncultured bacterium
Lineage: Bacteria
Description: bacterial SSU rRNA
Rfam family: Bacterial small subunit ribosomal RNA
Source: RNAcentral
UGGGGAAUAUUGCGCAAUGGGCGAAAGCCUGACGCAGCGACGCCGCGUGAGGGAUGAAGGUUUUCGGAUCGUAAACCUCUGUCAGAAGGGAAGAAGUUAUGCCGUUCUAAUCAGCGGCAUAUUGACGGUACCUUCAAAGGAAGGCACCGGCUAACUCCGUGCCAGCAGCCGCGGUAAUACGGAGGGUGCGAGCGUUAAUCGGAAUUACUGGGCGUAAAGCGCACGUAGGCUGUAUGUCAAGUCAAGGGUGAAAAUCCCACGGCUCAAGCCGUGGAACUGCCUUUGAAACUGGCAAACUGGAGUAUGUGAGAGGAUGGCGGAAUUCCUGGUGUAGGAGUGAAAUCCGUAGAUAUCAGGAGGAACAUCAGUGGCGAAGGCGGCCAUCUGGCACAUAACUGACGCUGGAGGUGCGAAAAGCGUGGGUAGCAAACAGGAUUAGAUACC